CUGACAGUCACAACACAGCAGUCGAAUUCUCUUUAGAAAUACAUAAAUACAUCGUUCACAAACCACAUUCGUGCAUAAUCCACGGAUGAAUGUCAUAGUUACACAGUUGUGGAGCAUGAAGUGUGAAGACAUCAAAUGUAAUGGCAGCGGUUACUCCAGGCGACUAAAACAAUGCUUUACUGCAUACUAUCACUUUUAGAUCAGUAUAUAUCCAAAUUAAAAAGAAACCAGGUCAUUGUGAGAAUGAAAAUAUGUGAUAAUUGAGCCGGCAAUAUUGGCAGUGUUUUCUUAAUAAUUAGUUGUCAUGUCACAAUGAUCAGUAUUGUAAACAGGAACGCUCUACAGUCAUCUCAACAGGAUAAAAGGUAUACUUGACAUGAGUGUUGAGCUCAAUCUUAGGAAUGAGUCCAAGAACUACACUUCCCAGAGUGCACCAGCAGCACCAAUCUGGCUGCUUGUCACCUGUUCUGUCAUUUUAACUGAUUUGGAGCACUUGUUAAAAACCUGGAAUUCCUCAGUCAUUCAGACAAACAAACUUCACUGGGAAGACACUCCAAGUUCACGUGUAGGUUCAGUGCAAAGAUGCCAGUGGUAUACCUGUGCUGCCGUCAAAGCCCCCCACAGCGUACAGCAGGUCCCCCAGCACAGCGGUGCUCUUGCAUGCUGGGAACAGAGUGCCACUGGUCCUUCAGCCCAUCAUACACAUCCACCGUCCGCACAUGCAAGGAGCCGUUAAAUCCCCCCCCACUGCAUACACCUUACCGGUCAUGUACACCACACCAACAUUACACCAACGGAAAGAGGGUAAGACUAGGGCUGCACGGUGAAUCAAAAUUCAGUCUGCGAUUUGUCAUUCAGUGAAGCCCGGUUCUGUGAUCAGCAGUAAAUCUCUCUUGUGUCAGUCAUAACCUUUGCGUUUAGCACUAAAACCAGAUCCUGAAUCUGUGAAAAGUAAGGUGUAGUUAAGAGGACUCCCAAGUCAUUGAUCCUAAAACGGUUGUUGCUGGCAAACUGACUCGUAAAUAAACACAAUGAUUUCACAAUGA
Molecule: long non-coding RNA, 1046 nt
Organism: Carassius gibelio (silver crucian carp)
Lineage: Eukaryota; Metazoa; Chordata; Actinopteri; Cypriniformes; Cyprinidae
Exons: 2
Source: RefSeq, a predicted model, not a curated record